CAUACAAGUCGAGCGGUGGUGAGGGGAGUGAGCCCGCAAGGCCAAGCGACUCGAACUACAGCGGCGAACGGGUGAGUAACACGUAAGUAACCUACCCCCCAGACCGGGAUAACCCGCCGAAAGGCGGGCUAAUAGGGGAUUCGCCCAUCACUGGGCUUCCACUGGUGGGGAAAGCGCGUCCUUCGGGGCGCGGCUGGGGGAGGGGCUUGCGGCCUAUCAGCUAGUCGGUGGGGUAACGGCCUACCGAGGCGACGACGGGUAGCCGCCCUGAGAGGGUGUUCGGCCACACUGGGACUGAGACACGGCCCAGACUCCUACGGGAGGCAGCAGUUGGGAAUCUUGCGCAAUGGGGGAAACCCUGACGCAGCGACGCCGUGUGGGGGAUGGCGGCCUUCGGGUUGUAAACCCCUGUUGGUGGGGAAGAUACAGACG
This 432-nucleotide ribosomal RNA is filed under the name uncultured bacterium. RNAcentral describes it as "bacterial SSU rRNA". It matches the Rfam family "Bacterial small subunit ribosomal RNA", at positions 54 to 456 of the family's 1533-position model. The record is from RNAcentral.